Molecule: long non-coding RNA, 907 nt
Organism: Daphnia pulicaria
Lineage: Eukaryota; Metazoa; Arthropoda; Branchiopoda; Diplostraca; Daphniidae
Exons: 6
Source: RefSeq, a predicted model, not a curated record
CCUUGCUUGACUGGCUGCAGUUUGAACCGGACGGUCUGUUAAAAUAAGAAUUUAAAUCUAGAACAACGCCUCCUUUGAGCGGUCCGGACAAUCCUGAAUUCUUUAGGGUUGCCAUUCCAUCGAGGCUUAAACGAGGAUGACGCGGAGGUGUUGCCCAUUGACGGGUUUUGGUGGCAAGGAGUCACUGAACGAAACGCUAAACCAAAUAAAAAAAAAAUAUUAAAAAAGACCCAUCCCCAGCAACGUCAACCUGCAGGAAGAAAAAGACCAGUUUCUAUGGCCUUCAGACUCGUAGAUCGCGGAGAUAAUUACGUAAAACUGGCAUGGGGUGGCGUAGAGGUUGGGUGAGAAUGACACGUUUUUCAACAUUAUCAAGCAGACCCAUCCCCGGCAAAGUCACCAGCAGAAGGAAAGGCCAGUUUGCAUUUCAAUUGAAGGUCAUGGAGAUCAUUACAUAAAAGGUGUCAUACAGUGGUGUAGAGGUUGGGUGAGAAAAGGACGUUUUGCAUCAUUAUCAAAAAGUUAAUUAUGGUGUUGUGUUGCUGUUGGGCGUCGUAUCGUUGAUGUCGACCACGAGAGAAAAUCUUACAAAAGGAAAGAGAAAGGGCAACAGAAGUCAAUCGUGUGUGCAUCUCCGACCCGGCAACAACUGCAUUCUUUCGUCGUAUCAUCAGGUCGCAAUUACGGGCGGAUACCAAACUGCAACGCCGCCGCCUUACUACACAACAAUAUACGCAACGACCAGUUACUAAACCGAGGUUGUUACUACACCGAGGUUGCACAGUUUGGUUUACAGUUAAACCACCAAGGAUCCAGAUAAUUACACCACAACUUGUGAUGCUCCUCGAGCUACACUACCAAAGCGCUAGAGUACUACACCGAGGCUCCUAAGUACUACACCACCAAG